RNAcentral lists this ribosomal RNA (292 nucleotides) under uncultured bacterium. Its description in RNAcentral is "partial 16S ribosomal RNA". The record is from RNAcentral.
GGACUACCGGGGUUUCUAAUCCUGUUUGCUCCCCACGCUUUCGCGUCUCAGCGUCAGUCACCGUCCAGGAGGCCGCCUUCGCCACCGGUGUUCUUCCAGAUAUCUACGCAUUUCACCGCUACACCUGGAAUUCCACCUCCCUCUCCGGGACUCUAGUCUCGCAGUUUCCGACGCACUUCCCGAGGUGAGCCCGGGGCUUUCACGCCAGACAUACGAAACCGCCUACACGCCCUUUACGCCCAGUAAUUCCGAGCAACGCUUGCACCCUCCGUAUUACCGCGGCGGCUGGCAC